UCAUUGGUCCAAAGUAAGCAUGUCUUCCAAG
RNAcentral lists this non-coding RNA (31 nucleotides) under Mus musculus (house mouse). Lineage: Eukaryota; Metazoa; Chordata; Mammalia; Rodentia; Muridae. The record is from RNAcentral.